Molecule: ribosomal RNA, 312 nt
Filed under: Triticum aestivum (bread wheat)
Lineage: Eukaryota; Viridiplantae; Streptophyta; Magnoliopsida; Poales; Poaceae
Description: partial small subunit ribosomal RNA
Source: RNAcentral
AUGAGUGUUUUCAAACUCCCGGCAUCGGUCUGUGAUGAUCUAACAAGGAUGAUUCGUCAGUACUGGUGGGGGGUGGAGAACGGAAAGAAGAAGUUGGCCUGGAUGGGCUGGGAUAAAUUGCGUCUUCCUAAGUCCAUGGGGGGCAUGGGUUUUAGGGACAUGAGGGCGUUUAACCAGGCGCUUCUAGCUAAGCAGGCCUGGAGGCUAUUGGACCGGUCGGAUAGUCUUUGUGCGCGUCUGCUGAAGGCGAGAUACUACCCUUCCGGUCAGCUGCUGGAUACGGUGUUCCCGGGCUCCGGAUCCGAGGUGUGG